RNAcentral lists this ribosomal RNA (253 nucleotides) under uncultured bacterium. RNAcentral's name for it is "partial 16S ribosomal RNA". It matches the Rfam family "Bacterial small subunit ribosomal RNA", at positions 524 to 776 of the family's 1533-position model. The record is from RNAcentral.
UACGUAGGUGGCAAGCGUUGUCCGGAUUUACUGGGCGUAAAGAGCGCGCAGGCGGUCGUCCAAGUCGCGUGUGAAAGCCCCCGGCUCAACUGGGGAGGGUCACGCGAUACUGGUCGACUCGAAGGCAGGAGAGGGUAGUGGAAUUCCCGGUGUAGUGGUGAAAUGCGUAGAUAUCGGGAGGAACACCGGUGGCGAAGGCGGCAUCCUGGACCGACAUUGACGCUGAUGAGCGAAAGCGUGGGGAGCGAACAGG